This 1278-nucleotide ribosomal RNA is filed under the name Kocuria sediminis. RNAcentral's name for it is "bacterial SSU rRNA". It matches the Rfam family "Bacterial small subunit ribosomal RNA", at positions 173 to 1470 of the family's 1533-position model. The record is from RNAcentral. Lineage: Bacteria; Bacillati; Actinomycetota; Actinomycetes; Micrococcales; Micrococcaceae.
GAACUCUCCUUGGCCGAGUGGGGAGGGAAAGGUUUUAUGGUUGGGAUGGCUCAGGCCUUUCAGCUUGUGGUGGGUAAUGCUAACCAAGGAACGAUGGUAGCCGCCUAGAAAGGUAACCGCCCCACUGGGACUGAACCCGGCCCCGACUCCUACGGGAGGCAGCAGGGGGAAUAUUGCACAAUGGGCGGAAGCCUGAUGCAGCGACCCCGCGUGAGGGAUGACGCCCUUCGGGUUGUAAACCUCUUUCAGUAGGGAAGAAGCGAGAGUGACGGUACCUGCAGAAGAAGCGCCGGCUAACUACGUGCCAGCAGCCGUCGUUAUCCCUAGCGCGCAAGCGUUGUCCGGAAUUAUUGGGCGUAAAGAGCUCGUAGGCGGUUUGUCGCGUCUGCUGUGAAAGCCCGGGGCUCAACCCCGGGUCUGCAGUGGGUACGGGCAGACUAGAGUGCAGUAGGGGAGACUGGAAUUCCUGGUGUAGCGGUGAAAUGCGCAGAUAUCAGGAGGAACACCGAUGGCGAAGGCAGGUCUCUGGGCUGUUACUGACGCUGAGGAGCGAAAGCAUGGGGAGCGAACAGGAUUAGAUACCCUGGUAGUCCAUGCCGUAAACGUUGGGCACUAGGUGUGGGGGACAUUCCACGUUUUCCGCGCCGUAGCUAACGCAUUAAGUGCCCCGCCUGGGGAGUACGGCCGCAAGGCUAAAACUCAAAGGAAUUGACGGGGGCCCGCACAAGCGGCGGAGCAUGCGGAUUAAUUCGAUGCAACGCGAAGAACCUUACCAAGGCUUGACAUUCACCGGACCGCCCCAGAGAUGGGGUUUCCCUUCGGGGCUGGUGGACAGGUGGUGCAUGGUUGUCGUCAGCUCGUGUCGUGAGAUGUUGGGUUAAGUCCCGCAACGAGCGCAACCCUCGUUCUAUGUUGCCAGCACGUGAUGGUGGGGACUCAUAGGAGACUGCCGGGGUCAACUCGGAGGAAGGUGGGGAUGACGUCAAAUCAUCAUGCCCCUUAUGUCUUGGGCUUCACGCAUGCUACAAUGGCCGGUACAAAGGGUUGCGAUACUGUGAGGUGGAGCUAAUCCCAAAAAGCCGGUCUCAGUUCGGAUUGAGGUCUGCAACUCGACCUCAUGAAGUCGGAGUCGCUAGUAAUCGCAGAUCAGCAACGCUGCGGUGAAUACGUUCCCGGGCCUUGUACACACCGCCCGUCAAGUCACGAAAGUUGGUAACACCCGAAGCCGGUGGCACUAAGACCGCCUUGUGGGUACAUCGGCGCGGCGGAGUGUGUUCG